GACGAACGCUGGCGGCGUGCUUAACACAUGCAAGUCGAACGGUGAAGCGCCUUCCUUUUUGGUGGGUGUGGAUGAGUGGCGAACGGGUGAGUAACACGUGAGUAACCUGCCCCCUUCUUCUGGAUAACCGCAUGAAAGUGUGGCUAAUACGGGAUAUUCUGGGUCUGUCGCAUGAUGGGUCUGGGAAAGAUUUUGUUUCGGUGGGGGAUGGGCUCGCGGCCUAUCAGCUUGUUGGUGGGGUGAUGGCCUACCAAGGCGGUGACGGGUAGCCGGCCUGAGAGGGUGGACGGUCACACUGGGACUGAGACACGGCCCAGACUCCUACGGGAGGCAGCAGUGGGGAAUAUUGCACAAUGGGCGCAAGCCUGAUGCAGCGACGCCGCGGGAGGGAUGGAGGCCUUCGGGUUGUGAACCUCUUUCGCCAGUGAAGCAGGCCUGCCUCGUUUGUGGAUGGGUUGACGGUAGCUGGAUAAGAAGCGCCGGCUAACUACGUG
This 494-nucleotide ribosomal RNA is filed under the name uncultured bacterium. Its description in RNAcentral is "partial 16S ribosomal RNA". It matches the Rfam family "Bacterial small subunit ribosomal RNA", at positions 28 to 507 of the family's 1533-position model. The record is from RNAcentral.